AGCCGUGUGGUGAGCACAGAGCGAACUAUUCUUUCGCCUUUUACUAAAGAAUACCGUGUGCGCGCCACUCUUAGCGGCAUACGCCUAUAUUUGGAGAGGUGCUCGUAUUGAGUACCU
Molecule: small nuclear RNA, 117 nt
Organism: Ziziphus jujuba (common jujube)
Lineage: Eukaryota; Viridiplantae; Streptophyta; Magnoliopsida; Rosales; Rhamnaceae
Product: U5 spliceosomal RNA
Exons: 1
Source: RefSeq, a predicted model, not a curated record